RNAcentral lists this ribosomal RNA (468 nucleotides) under uncultured bacterium. Its description in RNAcentral is "partial 16S ribosomal RNA". It matches the Rfam family "Bacterial small subunit ribosomal RNA", at positions 28 to 507 of the family's 1533-position model. The record is from RNAcentral.
GACGAACGCUGGCGGCGUGCUUAACACAUGCAAGUCGAACGGAAGGGCCCUGCUUUUGUGGGGUGCUCGAGUGGCGAACGGGUGAGUAACACGUGAGUAACCUGCCCUUGACUUUGGGAUAACUUCAGGAAACUGGGGCUAAUACCGGAUAGGAGCUCCUGCUGCAUGGUGGGGGUUGGAAAGUUUCGGCGGUUGGGGAUGGACUCGCGGCUUAUCAGCUUGUUGGUGGGGUAGUGGCUUACCAAGGCUUUGACGGGUAGCCGGCCUGAGAGGGUGACCGGCCACAUUGGGACUGAGAUACGGCCCAGACUCCUUCGGGAGGCAGCAGUGGGGAAUAUUGCACAAUGGGCGGAAGCCUGAUGCAGCAACGCCGCGUGCGGGAUGACGGCCUUCGGGUUGUAAACCGCUUUCGCCUGUGACGAAGCGUGAGUGACGGUAAUGGGUAAAGAAGCACCGGCUAACUACGUG